CAUGCAAGUCGAGCGAACAGAUAAGGAGCUUGCUCCUUUGACGUUAGCGGCGGACGGGUGAGUAACACGUGGGUAACCUACCUAUAAGACUGGAAUAACUCCGGGAAACCGGGGCUAAUGCCGGAUAACAUUUAGAACCGCAUGGUUCUAAAGUGAAAGAUGGUUUUGCUAUCACUUAUAGAUGGACCCGCGCCGUAUUAGCUAGUUGGUAAGGUAAUGGCUUACCAAGGCAACGAUACGUAGCCGACCUGAGAGGGUGAUCGGCCACACUGGAACUGAGACACGGUCCAGACUCCUACGGGAGGCAGCAGUAGGGAAUCUUCCGCAAUGGGCGAAAGCCUGACGGAGCAACGCCGCGUGAGUGAUGAAGGGUUUCGGCUCGUAAAACUCUGUUAUUAGGGAAGAACAAACGUGUAAGUAACUGUGCACGUCUUGACGGUACCUAAUCAGAAAGCCACGGCUAA
This 464-nucleotide ribosomal RNA is filed under the name Staphylococcus arlettae. Its description in RNAcentral is "bacterial SSU rRNA". It matches the Rfam family "Bacterial small subunit ribosomal RNA", at positions 54 to 500 of the family's 1533-position model. The record is from RNAcentral. Lineage: Bacteria; Bacillati; Bacillota; Bacilli; Caryophanales; Staphylococcaceae.